UACGGAUGGUGCGAGCGUUAAUCGGAAUUACUGGGCGUAAAGCGCGCGUAGGCUGUUUUAUAAGUCGGAUGUGAAAUCCCCGGGCUCAACCUGGGAACUGCAUCCGAAACUAUUUAACUAGAGUAUGGGAGAGGUAAGUAGAAUUUCCGGUGUAGCGGUGAAAUGCGUAGAUAUCGGAAGGAAUACCAGUGGCGAAGGCGGCUUACUGGACCAAUACUGACGCUGAGGUGCGAAAGCGUGGGGAGCGAAC
This 250-nucleotide ribosomal RNA is filed under the name uncultured bacterium. RNAcentral describes it as "partial 16S ribosomal RNA". It matches the Rfam family "Bacterial small subunit ribosomal RNA", at positions 524 to 773 of the family's 1533-position model. The record is from RNAcentral.